AAAUUUUCUUAAUAGAAUCUUAAUAGAGACUUAAUAGACCCAUAAGAUCAGUCCAAAUAAGGACUUAGCUAAACGCUAACCUCAGCUAUGUCUUAAGAAGACGGUUAUCUGUCGGUUCAGUCAGUGUUUACAAUAACGUGCGUGAUUGCAUGAGCUUGUAGCUAAUGCUAACCGCAAGCUAGCGGGCUAUCGCGGUUAACCCGUGUUUGGUGUCAGAGGUUCUUGUGAAGAUGCUGUGGAAGUGUAAAUGCUGUAUCUAAACUACACCAAGUCUAUGAAGCUCUCAUUUCAGUUCAUCCAACAGGUUCUUCUCACGUUGGGUCACAGUAAACUGAAACCAAGGCUACAAACACUGAAAAACCAGCUUGAAAUUUAAAGAAAUGUGUCAAGUAUGCUGUGAACAGCCAUAAUUUUAUCAUUUUUAGUCACUUUCAGAUGUGGCCAAAGUCAAGGUGUUGCAUGUAGGUUGUUAUACAGUUUGGUGUUCCUAAAGGAGGCCUUUGCCAUACAAAUAAUGUUUAAUGUGCCUCUUGCAAAUAUGCAAUUGUUUAGAAAUUAGUUUUUUUGUUUGUUUUUUUGGGUUGUGCAAUACUGUAGAAUAUUAUCUUGCAUUAUUUUGUGAAAAAAUAAAUGUUUUUCUGAAUAUUUAAA
Paramormyrops kingsleyae is the source of this 651-nucleotide non-coding RNA. The record is from RefSeq and is a predicted model, not a curated record. NCBI's taxonomy places the organism in Eukaryota, Metazoa, Chordata, Actinopteri, Osteoglossiformes, Mormyridae.